Molecule: transfer RNA, 58 nt
Filed under: Verticillium longisporum
Lineage: Eukaryota; Fungi; Ascomycota; Sordariomycetes; Glomerellales; Plectosphaerellaceae
Description: Verticillium dahliae var. longisporum tRNA
Rfam family: tRNA
About the family: Transfer RNA (tRNA) molecules are approximately 80 nucleotides in length. Their secondary structure includes four short double-helical elements and three loops (D, anti-codon, and T loops).
Source: Rfam by way of RNAcentral
UAGCUCAAUCGGUAGAGCGUGAGACUCUUAAUCUCAAGGUUGGGGGUUCGAGCCCCCC